GGGCGAGUGGCGUAAUUGGUAGCCGCGCUGGAUUUAGGUUCCAGUCCCGCAAGGGGUAAGGGUUCGAGUCCCUUCUUGCCCA
Molecule: transfer RNA, 82 nt
Filed under: bacterium
Lineage: Bacteria
Also listed under: 1 other name
Description: tRNA-Leu
Rfam family: tRNA
About the family: Transfer RNA (tRNA) molecules are approximately 80 nucleotides in length.
Source: RNAcentral